Molecule: ribosomal RNA, 398 nt
Filed under: uncultured bacterium
Lineage: Bacteria
Description: partial 16S ribosomal RNA
Rfam family: Bacterial small subunit ribosomal RNA
Source: RNAcentral
AAUAUUGGACAAUUGGCGCAAGCCUGAUCCAGCCACGCCGCGUGAGCGAUGAAGGCCUUAGGGUUGUAAAGCUCUUUCAGCGGGGAAGAUAAUGACGGUACCCGCAGGAGAUGCCCCGGCUAACUUAGGGCCACCAGCCGCGGUAAUACGAAGGGGGCUAGCGUUGUUCGGAAUUACGGAGCGUAAAGGGCGCGUAGGCGGACUGUUAUGUCAGGGGUGAAAUCCCGGGGCUCAACCCCGGAACUGCCUUUGAUACUGGUGGUCUAGAGUUCGGGAGAGGUGAGUGGAAUUCCGAGUGUAGAGGUGAAAUUCGUAGAUAUUCGGAGGAACACCAGUGGCGAAGGCGGCUCACUGGCCCGAUACUGACGCUGAGGCGCGAAAGCGUGGGGAGCAAACAG